Molecule: long non-coding RNA, 1359 nt
Filed under: Rattus norvegicus (Norway rat)
Lineage: Eukaryota; Metazoa; Chordata; Mammalia; Rodentia; Muridae
Description: long non-coding RNA NONRATT011442
Source: RNAcentral
CUUAACCAAGCCUGAGAAAGGCCGUUGUGGGAGUCCCUGCUUGGAGCUGAGAGGGGAGCACGGGCGAGUUCGGAGCCGCGCCAUGGAAAUUUCAGGGAGGAUUAACUGAGGUGAGAAGACCCCCGUCGUCUUACAGUAGGUGGCACUUUGAGAAGGAAGUCCACAGAAGGAGCAGUGUUUGUUCCUGCUUGCCUUCACUUCUUGCUGGUGAGUGCAUCUGCCCCAUUGCCACUGCUGCUGCCACCCUUCCCUGACAUUGGAGCCAGUGUCUUGGGCCUCCAGUGUGGACUGAAGACCACUGAAGAAGCUUCCGGGCGUCUUCUGAGCCCCUAGUGCCAGAUUGGAGCUCCCGAGGCUUCCAGCCCUGUGGAUGGAGCCUCUCCAUCAUGGAGACCCCCAUUGUUGGACUAUCCCGGCCUGAUCAGGUAAGUUGUAAAUUAGAUAAAGUAAUAUAUUAAGUUCCCUUCUUAUUUGCUCUUUUAUUUCUGUCCUCAAGAGAAUACUGACUCAGGUAGCUAGACCUGUGUCAUUCUGUUUUCUUAUAUGUACCUUAAACAUAGUUUAAAGUCAUCAUUCUCUUAUUUAAUUUGUGUUUUUUUUAUUUUUAAAAACUUUUUUAUUGGUUCUUUGGGAAUUUCACAUUAUACACCCCAAUCUCACUCAUCUCCCCAUCCCUCCAUAUCUAUGCUCUGUCCUUGCAAACCCCCACUCCUAAAGAAAAGAAAGGAAAACACAAACAAGACGAUAUCACCACGGAAGCUGCCCCAUGUGCACACUUGUCUAAACAGCUUCCCUUGCAGUGGUCCAUUUUCUCAAAGGAAGAAGCCACUGGCCCACUGGCACUUGUAUUUGUUACUGGCUCUGUUGGUGUAACUCACCCUUUCCCAAGGAGCAGGGACAGCAACUGCCUUUUGAGUCUCCAGUUCUGCCUCUCUUCAUAUAGCGUGCUUCAUACCAACAAGAAAUGUCACUAGAAAUUUGGGGAGUUCUGUCGGAUUUGCACAUGGGAAAUUUUAGUCUCAUUACUAAGAAGAAUUUAAGGGUGACUGAAGAGAUGGGUCAGUGGUUAAGAGCAGAGGACCCAGAAUCAGUUCCUAGAACUUACAUGGCAGGUCACAACUGCUGUAACUCUAGUUCCAAGGUAUCCGGUGCUUGACCUCUGUGUGCACUUGCAUGCACAUGGUGCACAUACACACACAUGCACACAUAUAGGCAUACACACAGAGUGAUUUUUUGGAAGGAUUUAAGAGCUGUCUCAAAGCUUAAGGACAGUUCUAUCUAUGAAUCUAAAAGAAAUCCUCAGGACUGACAAGCUGUAAGUUCUGGCAGCUAUUGGGAAGGGGAGAUGGAUAGGAGAAG